This 2251-nucleotide ribosomal RNA is filed under the name Leipothrix sp. 1 XFX-2017. RNAcentral describes it as "partial small subunit ribosomal RNA". It matches the Rfam family "Eukaryotic small subunit ribosomal RNA". Lineage: Eukaryota; Metazoa; Arthropoda; Arachnida; Trombidiformes; Eriophyidae. The record is from RNAcentral.
AAGUUCAAGCUCCGAUUAUGAGGGCGAAACCGCGAAUGGCUCAUUAAAUCAGUCAUAAUCUACUUGAUAAGUUUAUAUGGAUAACUGUGGUAAUUCUAGAGCUAAUACAUGCACAAAGGGGACGACUCGCGAGAAGUUCUGCGUUUAUUAGACUAAGACCAAUGGUCGUUUCGGGCGUAUCUUUAAUUAAGGUGACUCUGAGUAAAUAAUGGGUGAAAGCCCAUGUUGCUGACCUGACAUCCCAAAAGGCACUUUGUCUGGCAAAUCAAUCGUGUGUCUGCUCUAUCAACUGUGGAUGGUAGGAUAAUUGCCUACCAUGGUGAUGACGGGUAACGGGGAGUUAGGGCUCGACUCCGGAGAACAAGCCUGAGAAACGGCUAGUAGGACUAAGGUCUGCAGCAGGCGCGAAACUUACACAAUGCUAGAUUACAAUUAGCGAUGUAGUGAAGAAAAAUAACGAUGUACUUCCAUUUAAACAUGGUAGUACAAUUGGAAUGAGACGACUAUAAACGAGUUAGUCGAGUAACAAAUGGAGGGCAAGUCUGGUGCCAGCAGCCGCGGUAAUUCCAGCUCCAUUAGCAUACAUUAAAGUUGUUGCGGUUAAAAAGCUCGUAGUUGAAUUUUAGGCGGGCUCUAUUGGGCAGCAAUCGUUAAGGUUCUAUCAUAUUCAUUCACUUGGAUGGGUAACUGGUUGUGCCCUAUAGGAACCCGCUGUUUCGUCACUUAAUCGAGUGCGAAGCGGGCUGGAACAUGGUUUAUCUCUCGGAGGUCCAUGUUACAGCAUGUUUACCUUGAGAAAAUUAGAGUGCUCACAGCAGGCAGUUGGGGUGUAAAAGCUCCUUUAUGCUUGAAUAAUGUUGCAUGGAAUAAUAGAAUACGGCCUCGGUUCUAUUCUGUUGGUCUUAUAGAACAACAAACAAGUUGGUUAAAGCGAUCAAAAGCCUCUUUGUGGCGUGGCUUUGAGUCACUGUGGUUGUUUGGUAGGUGUUGCCUGUGUUUCUAUUUCUGUUGCCUGGGGCCUUAAAAUCUCAGCGCCAGGAUUGGUUUUGGAAUGUUCAUUCAUCUGGUCAUAGCUCUUUUAGUCUUUUAAAGCGCUACUUAUUGGGCUAGCUUUUAAUCAACUGAGGCAAUGGUAAAAGAAAUAGUCGCGGCGGCAUCAGACUGCGAGAGUGAAAUUCUUAGACCGAUGCAAGACUAACUGAAGCGAAAGCGUUUGCCGAGGAUAUUUUCAUUAAUCAAGAACGAAAGUUAGAGGUUCGAAGGCGAUCAGAUACCGCCCUAGUUCUAACCAUAAACGUUGCCAACUAGCAAUUGGGUUGCGAUUCCUUUAAUCGAAGCUUAAAAAACUUCGAUCAUUAUGAUCCACCCAGCGGCUCUCGUAGGGAAACCAAAGUGUUUGGGUUCCGGGGGAAGUAUGAUUGCAAAGUUGAAACUUAAAGGAAUUGACGGAAGGGCACCACCAGGAGUGGAGCCUGCGGCUUAAUUUGACUCAACACGGGGAAACUUACUAGAUUAGAACUCUGGAAUGAUUGACAGAUUGAUAGCUCUUUCUUGAUUCAGAGGAUGGUGGUGCAUGGCCGUUCUUGAUUCGUAUUCCGAAACGUCUGCUUAAUUGCGAUAACGAGUGAGACCUCACCCAACUAACUAGUCGUUUGGUGCGCUGUGGAACGCAAAAUCCCGCAGGAUUCUGUUAUAGUGGCGCAGGGAAACUUGUUGUCAUUAUGGCUGCCUGUUGUGAUGUUUCUGCUCGCCAGCGGACUUCUUAGAGGGAUAACGGUGUUUUGCCGUAAGAAACGAGGCAAUAACAGGUCUGUGAUGCCCUUAGAUACUCUAGGCCGCACGCGUGCUACAAUGGCGUGUGCAGAAAGCUUGUUCGAGGUUUGUCUAGAGAGAACUGGCCAUUUGGUUUGUUGUUGGUGGCAACAUUUAGUGAAUCGGUGGAAAAGUGACUUUAGCAGGCCGAGAGAAACCGUUGUCGAAAGAUAACGGCAAUCAAAAAUACACGCCGUGAUUUGGGAUUGGGGAUUGCAAUUGUUGCCCAUGAACGAGGAAUUCCCAGUAAGCGCAAUUCAUCAUAUUGCGUUGAUUACGUCCCUGCCCUUUGUACACACCGCCCGUCGCUACUACCGAUUGGAAGUUUUAGUGAGGCAUUUGGACCUGCCGGCCAUUGGGAGGAACUCUUCUGGGUUGGCGGGGAAGUCUGUCGAACUCAAAUUUCUAGAGGAAGUAAAAGUCGUAACAAGGUUUCCGU